GCCUUCGUGAUGGAAUUGGUAGACAUUCUGGUUUUAGGAACCAGUGCUAAUAGCGUGCCGGUUCAAAUCCGGCCGAAGGCA
This 81-nucleotide transfer RNA is filed under the name Agrobacterium sp. Its description in RNAcentral is "tRNA-Leu". It matches the Rfam family "tRNA". From Rfam's summary of the family: Transfer RNA (tRNA) molecules are approximately 80 nucleotides in length. Their secondary structure includes four short double-helical elements and three loops (D, anti-codon, and T loops). Further hydrogen bonds mediate the characteristic L-shaped molecular structure. tRNAs have two regions of fundamental functional importance: the anti-codon, which is responsible for specific mRNA codon recognition, and the 3' end, to which the tRNAs corresponding amino acid is attached (by aminoacyl-tRNA synthetases). tRNAs cope with the degeneracy of the genetic code in two manners: having more than one tRNA (with a specific anti-codon) for a particular amino acid; and 'wobble' base-pairing, i.e. permitting non-standard base-pairing at the 3rd anti-codon position. RNAcentral also lists the same sequence under 1 other name. The record is from RNAcentral. Lineage: Bacteria; Pseudomonadati; Pseudomonadota; Alphaproteobacteria; Hyphomicrobiales; Rhizobiaceae.